Homo sapiens (human) is the source of this 414-nucleotide long non-coding RNA. The record is from Ensembl. Lineage: Eukaryota; Metazoa; Chordata; Mammalia; Primates; Hominidae.
AGGAACGAGAGUCCAGCCAAGUCCCCCCGGUCUCUCCCGGGUUGGCCUGAGCCACCUGCUAUCCCUGGCAGACCAGGCCCUGGGGAGCUGCCUCUGUCGCUCACCGGAAGCGUUGGUCCCACAGCCGGGUCCCGGCCAGGCUGGUACCUGAACCCACCUGCCGUUCCACCUGGCGGUGGCCGCGAUUGUCACGUCACUUCCGGCAAGACGCGGAAGUCCCGGCUUUCCCCCCACUGGAUAUUUGCUCCAAUCCCUGCAGACAAUCCUUCCCUUCCCGGCUCCCGGGACGCUCGGAACCAAGAACGAGAACAAGUAUUGGCGGAAGCUCGCUGUUAGUAGGAACAAGCGAAAACAGAGGAACGGUCUGGACAGGCUGACAGCGUCUAACCCCGCCCUUUGCCCUGCCGCCGCCGC